UCUUGUAGUAUCCAAGCUUAUGGUAGUACCGUAGGACCAAUUCUUGACCACACAUUUAUGACAUGUGGCGCAUCAAGAUGGUGACACGUGGCAAGACAUUCUAAAGCAAAAUCUGUAGAAGGGUAAAAUCGGAAUAUAUUUUUCGAAUAAAAAAAUAUUAUGUUUUCUCAAAAUAUUCAUAUUUUAGAUGCAUAAAGGUUCAAACUAAGAUGCAUACAGUUUCAUAUAAAAAUGC
Molecule: long non-coding RNA, 235 nt
Filed under: Salvia miltiorrhiza (redroot sage)
Lineage: Eukaryota; Viridiplantae; Streptophyta; Magnoliopsida; Lamiales; Lamiaceae
Description: long non-coding RNA (SMIL_LNC013955)
Source: RNAcentral